Molecule: long non-coding RNA, 452 nt
Filed under: Homo sapiens (human)
Lineage: Eukaryota; Metazoa; Chordata; Mammalia; Primates; Hominidae
Description: non-protein coding lnc-MRLN-1:1
Source: RNAcentral
GCCGGGUGCUGAGCACCGGAGGCCCCGCCGAGGCCGGGACUCAGGUAACCUGCUCUGGCUUCAGCAGCGCCCAGAGGCUUUCCAGAGAGCUGAUAACCACGAACAAACUUGGCUGUCAAAAGCAAAUCAAUGCUUUACCUUGUUUUCUGGGUGCCUAGUCUAUCCAACACAAACUAUCCCCGAAGUUUAGUCAGGAUUUACGCUAAAUAUAUUACUUAUAUAGACCUGCAGAGAAACGCCUCCUGAUUUUGUCUUACAAUGGAACUUAAAAAGUCGCCUGACGGUGGAUGGGGCUGGGUGAUUGUGUUUGUCUCCUUCCUUACUCAGUUUUUGUGUUACGGAUCCCCACUAGCUGUUGGAGUCCUGUACAUAGAAUGGCUGGAUGCCUUUGGUGAAGGAAAAGGAAAAACAGCCUGGGUUGGAUCCCUGGCAAGUGGAGUUGGCUUGCUUGC